AUGAAAAGAUAGGAAACAAUAUAUACGUUUGCUCCACACAAAGGGCAACCCGAACUCACAGCCCAUCCUUUUCUAAAAAGAAUGUCUCCAGUCUGAAGUUUGUUCUACUUUACCAACCCCAAAAACCAAUAAAAUUAAGCUAAAUGAGCCUAAUACAUCAUAUGAAUAUAAUCGACAACUAACCACACCUCCAGACACUUAUGCUUCUAUCAAUCUCCAUUGUACCAUGCUACUGACAUUUGCCAUGCAAUACAAAAGCAACAAGCAAAUAAAGAACAUACAAGAACAUUAUAUAGCAAUAUAUCUGCGCCUAUGGAGCAAUAUCUUGGUUUUCCUCAGUUAAAAUGGAGAGAAUAACAGGAAGCAAGAUAUAACCUACAGGCUACAGUACCUUCACAUUGACACAAAGAAUAUUUUUAACCAGAUUCACAAAACUUGACAAUUUCAGACAUGAUAUAACCAAUAAAUACUGUAACUGCACUAAACAUCAAAGGAAAUUGGUAGCCGUCAAUGUUUUGAAUCUCUUUAAAUCCAAGAACGAAACUCUCUUCCAUGGCUCUCGAGGAUCUUGAUGUACAAAAGGCCUCCACAUAAAAAAAACCAUUUUUUUUUGCGGAAAAUCACAUACAGGCGGCAUCGGUGCCUUCUUCCUACCAUCUUUACUCUG
RNAcentral lists this long non-coding RNA (667 nucleotides) under Phoenix dactylifera (date palm). RNAcentral's name for it is "long non-coding RNA (PDAC_LNC019738)". Lineage: Eukaryota; Viridiplantae; Streptophyta; Magnoliopsida; Arecales; Arecaceae. The record is from RNAcentral.